This 366-nucleotide ribosomal RNA is filed under the name uncultured Pseudomonas sp. RNAcentral's name for it is "bacterial SSU rRNA". It matches the Rfam family "Bacterial small subunit ribosomal RNA", at positions 539 to 905 of the family's 1533-position model. The record is from RNAcentral. Lineage: Bacteria; Pseudomonadati; Pseudomonadota; Gammaproteobacteria; Pseudomonadales; Pseudomonadaceae.
CGUUAAUCGGAAUUACUGGGCGUAAAGCGUGCGCAGGCGGUUAUGCACGACAGAGGUGAAAUCCCCGGGCUCAACCUGGGAACUGCCUUUGUGACUGCAUGGCUAGAGUACGUUAGAGGGGGAUGGAAUUCCGCGUGUAGCAGUGAAAUGCGUAGAUAUGCGGAGGAACACCGAUGGCGAAGGCAAUCCCCUGGACCUGUACUGACGCUCAUGCACGAAAGCGUGGGGAGCAAACAGGAUUAGAUACCCUGGUAGUCCACGCCCUAAACGAUGUCAACUGGUUGUUGGGAGGGUUUCUUCUCAGUAACGUAGCUAACGCGUGAAGUUGACCGCCUGGGGAGUACGGCCGCAAGGUUGAAACUCAAA